GAUGAACGCUAGCGGCAGGCCUAACACAUGCAAGUCGAGGGAGAAGCCCUUUCGGGGGCAGAAACCGGCGCACGGGUGCGUAACGCGUAUGCAACCUACCUUUCACAGGGGGGUAGCCCGAAGAAAUUUGGAUUAAUACCCCAUAAUAUUAUUGGAUGGCAUCAUUUGAUAAUUAAAACUGCGGUGGUGAAAGAUGGGCAUGCGUCCUAUUAGCUAGUUGGAGUGGUAACGGCACCCCAAGGCUACGAUAGGUAGGGGUCCUGAGAGGGAGAUCCCCCACACUGGUACUGAGACAGGGACCAGACUCCUACGGGAGGCAGCAGUGAGGAAUAUUGGUCAAUGGUCGGAAGACUGAACCAGCCAUGCCGCGUGCAGGAAGAAUGCCUUAUGGGUUGUAAACUGCUUUUAUAUGGGAAGAAUAAGGUGUACGUGUACAUUGAUGACGGUACCAUAUGAAUAAGCAUCGGCUAACUCCGUG
Molecule: ribosomal RNA, 478 nt
Filed under: uncultured bacterium
Lineage: Bacteria
Description: partial 16S ribosomal RNA
Rfam family: Bacterial small subunit ribosomal RNA
Source: RNAcentral